CUUGACGACCAUAGCAAGGUGGUCCCACUCCUUCCCAUCCCGAACAGGAUAGUGAAACGCCUUUGCGCCGAUGAUAGUGGACGGACGUCUGUGAAAGUAGGUCAUCGUCAAGC
RNAcentral lists this ribosomal RNA (113 nucleotides) under Achromobacter xylosoxidans. Lineage: Bacteria; Pseudomonadati; Pseudomonadota; Betaproteobacteria; Burkholderiales; Alcaligenaceae. The record is from RNAcentral.